GAUGAGCCCGCGGCCUAUCAGCUUGUUGGUGGGGUAAUGGCCUACCAAGGCGGCGACGGGUAGCCGGCCUGAGAGGGUGUCCGGCCACAUUGGGACUGAGAUACGGCCCAGACUCCUACGGGAGGCAGCAGUGGGGAAUAUUGCACAAUGGGCGCAAGCCUGAUGCAGCGACGCCGCGUGGGGGAUGAAGGCCUUCGGGUGUAACUCCUAGGGUUACGG
RNAcentral lists this ribosomal RNA (219 nucleotides) under uncultured actinomycete. RNAcentral's name for it is "partial 16S rRNA". It matches the Rfam family "Bacterial small subunit ribosomal RNA", at positions 224 to 444 of the family's 1533-position model. The record is from RNAcentral. Lineage: Bacteria; Bacillati; Actinomycetota; Actinomycetes; Actinomycetales.